ACCCACGCGAACACGAGGAGAACAUGCAAACUCCACGCAGAGAGGAUCGGUCAGACCCGGAUUCGAACCCGCGACCACCCUCUUGCGAGAGAUAAAUCACCCCAGCAACACCCCAUGCAUCAAAGGAGAAAUUAAUAUUAUAACCAGCUAUCUUGCUCAUAUCUGACCCGGUAUUAAUUGUAUUUUUGUUGUUGUUGUUGUUGUUGUUGUUCUUUCCUCCCCAUUUUCAUUUUUUUUCAUUGGUUUGGGCCAAAAUCUUUACAAAUUAAUUCAACAAUGAAAUUGCUUUCACUACUUGCAUUGUGCGCUGGUAUUGGUUUAGCCACUUGAAUUAUGCAAUGUGAUUGGCUUUGCUACUCACUCGGCUGCUUGUGCUGUCCAGUGCAGCUGGUUUUGUGACUUGCUGAGCUAGCCACAAAGCUAAAUGUGGAGCUAAUGACAGAGUUAAAGCUUGUGAUAAGAGCUAUUUAUUAUCGCAGCUCACAAGCAAAUUUUCAAGCUUACUGAGUACUUGAACUGUGAGGGUAGCCAAAAAUAAUAAAAUAAAUAGAUAAUACACAAAAUUUAAUAAAAUCUGUUGAUAGUCCUAUGCAUUACAUCAUCUUUGUAAUUGACAUGUUUAUCAUCUUCAUCAUCACCAGUUAUCACAUUUGAAAGUAAA
Long non-coding RNA from Anguilla anguilla (European eel), 661 nucleotides. RefSeq lists it as uncharacterized. The transcript is spliced from 3 exons. The record is from RefSeq and is a predicted model, not a curated record. NCBI's taxonomy places the organism in Eukaryota, Metazoa, Chordata, Actinopteri, Anguilliformes, Anguillidae.